CUAAUUGGUUUACCUGAUAGUCA
RNAcentral lists this non-coding RNA (23 nucleotides) under Arabidopsis thaliana (thale cress). Lineage: Eukaryota; Viridiplantae; Streptophyta; Magnoliopsida; Brassicales; Brassicaceae. The record is from RNAcentral.